GGGGAUGCAAAUGCAUCGACAAGAUAGUUCUUUAAAAACUGCAAGCCGACGAGACUCACAGUCGUAAAACUAAGUCAAAAAUAUAAAUGAUAGAGGAAACUCUUCAUUCGCUCCAACUCGUUUUGCUUUUGCUUAACUAGUUGAGCUGUCCUUAAUGUUUUUUCUCGAUGAAACAUUUUGGGCAUAAACUUAGUCGAGAAAUUGAAAGAGUAGAUGGUUAGAACUCUUUUGAAUUUAUAACCUUGACCUUAUUUAUGGAUGUUUGUUUUCAAAGAAUAAGGCGAUCAAAAAAAUAACAAAAUAAGCUUGUAGAAGUUUGAAAAAAUACCUUCUUGGACUCGGGAUCACUUCCCGACAUCUCCACAA
This 366-nucleotide transfer-messenger RNA is filed under the name Patescibacteria group. Its description in RNAcentral is "01-FULL-36-15b sp001782035 Standard tmRNA". It matches the Rfam family "transfer-messenger RNA". From Rfam's summary of the family: Bacterial tmRNA, also known as 10Sa RNA or SsrA, is named for its dual tRNA and mRNA-like properties. Its role is to liberate the mRNA from a stalled ribosome. The record is from RNAcentral. RNAcentral also lists the same sequence under 2 other names.